UCAAAGGACUAAACUGCGAAGUUCUUCCACCCCGCGCCGCCGUUUCCGCCCCGCCGCCGCUUCCUCCCGUCCGCCGUUGCCCGGUGAUGGAGGCGGCCGCCGUCGCUUCCCCCGGCUCCGGGCUGCGCUACCUGCCACCGAUCAACCCCGCCCAGAAGCGUCAGCGGAGCCGGAGCGCGACGGCGGGGGCCUUCGCGACCACGCGGCGGCAGCCUCGCGCUGCUGUCGCUUGCAGGCGGCCCCAUCGCGUUGAGGCGGCGGCGGCGGCGAGGGAUAGCGGCGGAUCCGGGGACUCUUCUCACUGUUCCGGCGGAGUGAGGAGCAGGAAACGCCUCGCGGUGUUCGUGUCCGGCGGCGGCUCCAACUUCCGGUCCAUCCACGAGGCCACCGCCGCGGGCGGCAAGGCGAGCAGCGGGGAUAUGGUCGCGCUCGUCACGGACAAGCCAGGAUGCGGCGGAGCGGAGUACGCGAGGCGCAGCGGCAUACCGGUGGUCCUGUUCCCCAGGUCCAAAUCGGCGCCGGAGGGGGUGCCGACGGCUCAGCUUCUGAAUGCCCUGAGGGAUCUCAGGGUGGACUUCGUUCUGCUCGCUGGUUACCUGAAACUUAUACCCAGUGAGCUAGUCCAGGCAUAUCCCAGAUCCGUACUGAAUAUACAUCCUUCGCUCCUCCCGGCAUUCGGAGGCAAGGGUUAUUAUGGUCUGAAGGUGCAUAAAGCCGUCAUUGCGUCUGGAGCCAGAUAUUCAGGACCAACUGUGCACUUUGUGGAUGAACAGUUCGACACGGGAAGAACUUUAGCCCAAAGGGUUGUGCCUGUGCUAGCCGACGAUACUCCAGAGCAAUUGGCUGCAAGGGUUCUACAUGAGGAGCAUCAUGUUUAUGUUGAGGCAGUUGCUGCCUUGUGCGAGGAUCGAAUCGUGUGGCGAGAAGACGGUGUCCCACUUAUCAGAACUCAGACAAACCCCGAUGCAUACGCCUAAUUGGUGGUGCUACCUUGAGGUCUCCUAGACGCUAACGAAAUUUAUAUACCCCCUGCCAGUUUUCCCCAAGGCAUGGGAGUUAAUUCACCAUGUUUGUCUGACUGGGUGAAAUAACCUGCCUGAUAAUCUGGUCACAGAAACAUAACUUGCACCUUGCACUGUGUUCCGCUCGUUGCGUGGCUUGGCUUUGAAGAUAAUCCGUGCUUUCAUUUGCAAACUCUUCAAUGAGCAAUCCACUAACCGACCCUCGCAUAUCCACAUCUCUCCUUUGUUCAAAUGAUGUUUUCUCUUUGAGAUGUCAAUUUGGUUUGUGCUGCAGUUUGACAUGCUUCUUAUCUGAGAGGGAUGGAGAAGGGGAUGGUGCGAAUCGUAGCCAUUCUUGGAGAGCCCUCUCAGACAGCAAGGGAUAAGAGGAAGAUGAGCGGGUGGCCAUUCGGCCAUGCAAGCUGCGUUACCGACCCUAUCGCAGAUUGUGCAAAUCCCAGGCUCGGUCCCACAAGUCCUUGGAGUUGCUGAGGCGGGGGGAGUGUCACUUGCCAUUAAGCUUGCCAGCCAUGCUCAAAAGUCAAAACCAAGUGUGGAUAUGACAUGCCACUAUAUAUACCUCAUCAUGAUGGUCGCUUGGCACUAGUAUUUGCCUCUCCCACUUGGGUCCUUAAGAAGAGUCGCUGUUUCUAGCGAAGUUUGAUCGUACGGUUUUGCUAAGUCUCAGUCGACUGAGACUUGGUUAUGUAUCAGCCGAUACUAUCUUCCUUUGGUUUUGCAUGGAGAUUUGUGCAAAAAAAGAAAUCUUUUCAGUUUUUCUUUUUUCUUCUUACAUACUAUAUCACUUGACUGAGACUUGAUUAAGUCUCAGUCGAAUGAGACCUAGCCACACCCUUGAUCGUGUGUUUCUUCUUUCGGAAUGUUGGUUUCAUGUGGGUGCUUGGUUC
RNA transcript from Triticum dicoccoides, 1909 nucleotides. It is a transcript of the gene named phosphoribosylglycinamide formyltransferase, chloroplastic-like, with no coding region annotated. NCBI's taxonomy places the organism in Eukaryota, Viridiplantae, Streptophyta, Magnoliopsida, Poales, Poaceae. The transcript is spliced from 6 exons. The record is from RefSeq and is a predicted model, not a curated record.